This 429-nucleotide ribosomal RNA is filed under the name Verrucomicrobiota bacterium. RNAcentral's name for it is "Verrucomicrobia bacterium partial 16S ribosomal RNA". It matches the Rfam family "Bacterial small subunit ribosomal RNA", at positions 355 to 776 of the family's 1533-position model. Lineage: Bacteria; Pseudomonadati; Verrucomicrobiota. The record is from RNAcentral.
UAGGGAAUCUUCGGCAAUGGGGGGAACCCUGACCGAGCAACGCCGCGUGAGUGAAGAAGGUUUUCGGAUCGUAAAGCUCUGUUGUUAAGGAAGAACGAGUGUGAGAAUGGAAAGUUCAUGCUGUGACGGUACUUAACCAGAAAGGGACGGCUAACUACGUGCCAGCAGCCGCGGUAAUACGUAGGUCCCGAGCGUUGUCCGGAUUUAUUGGGCGUAAAGCGAGCGCAGGCGGUUAGAAAAGUCUGAAGUGAAAGGCAGUGGCUCAACCAUUGUAGGCUUUGGAAACUGUUUAACUUGAGUGCAGAAGGGGAGAGUGGAAUUCCAUGUGUAGCGGUGAAAUGCGUAGAUAUUAGGAAGAACACCGGUGGCGAAGGCGACUUUCUGGACGAAAACUGACGCUGAGGCGCGAAAGCGUGGGGAGCAAACAGG